This 370-nucleotide long non-coding RNA is filed under the name Salvia miltiorrhiza (redroot sage). Its description in RNAcentral is "long non-coding RNA (SMIL_LNC000399)". Lineage: Eukaryota; Viridiplantae; Streptophyta; Magnoliopsida; Lamiales; Lamiaceae. The record is from RNAcentral.
UAAAUCAAACAUUUGAAAAUUAAUGUUUUUUGCUUACGAUGGUUCAAGAAUAUUGUGAUGAUCCCUAACAAGAUUGAUAGCUUUCAUUUAAUGUCUCUAUACACAAAUAGUUUAUUGAACAGCUGUUAAAUAAAAGGGCCGUAGCUAUAAAGUUUUUAUGUGGGAACUCACCAUUCACCAAUAUACUAGCUGCAAGACAGAAGCAAAAAGAAAAAGAAAAAAAAAAUUAUAAAGUGCAAUUCAAAUCGUUAUUUGUUGAAUAAUUUAAUAUAGGGUUAAGGUGCAGAUAGGCCCCUUAAGUAGAGGCCCUUAUAGCGUUUUGCUCCCCUUACUCACUGUGUGUGCAACUAAACCCCUAAAGUUCAAAAAA